CGAGUUGGUUAGGCAAUCGCCGGUUUAUUGAAGCCCUUAUCGUGGCAACACGAAAAAAAGCGGGACAAAUAGACGGGAGGAAAGUCCGAGCUACAAAGGGCAGAGUGCCGGAUAACGUCCGGGGGGCGCGAGCCUACGACCAGUGCAACAGAGAGCAGACCGCCGCGUAAGCGGUAAGGGUGAAAGGGUGCGGUAAGAGCGCACCGUGCCGCUGGUAACAGUGUGCAGCAGGGUAAACUCCACUCGUAGCAAGACCAAAUAGGGAUCCAAUGGGUGGCCCGCCCAGGAUUCGGGUAGGUUGCUUGAGCGGCGAAGCAAUUCGUCGCCUAGAUGAAUGAUUGUCCACGACAGAACUCGGCUUAUCGACCAACUCACCUC
Non-coding RNA from Haemophilus pittmaniae HK 85, 378 nucleotides. NCBI's taxonomy places the organism in Bacteria, Pseudomonadati, Pseudomonadota, Gammaproteobacteria, Pasteurellales, Pasteurellaceae. The record is from Rfam.